This 553-nucleotide ribosomal RNA is filed under the name uncultured archaeon. RNAcentral describes it as "bacterial SSU rRNA". It matches the Rfam family "Archaeal small subunit ribosomal RNA", at positions 326 to 879 of the family's 1478-position model. The record is from RNAcentral.
CGGGGUGCAGCAGGCGCGAAAACUUUACAAUGCUGGCAACAGCGAUAAGGGGACCUCGAGUGCCAGGAUACAAUCUUGGCUGUCGCGAUGCCUAAAAAGUAUUGCAUAGCAAGGGCCGGGCAAGACCGGUGCCAGCCGCCGCGGUAACACCGGCGGCUCGAGUGGUAACCGCUAUUAUUGGGUCUAAAGGGUCUGUAGCCGGCCGGAUAAGUCUUUUGGGAAAUCCAGCUGCUCAACAGUUGGGCUUUCAGAAGAUACUGUUCGGCUCGAGACCGGGAGAGGUGAGAGGUACUUCAGGGGUAGGGGUGAAAUCUUGUAAUCCUUGAAGGACCACCAGUGGCGAAGGCGUCUCACCAGAACGGAUCUGACGGCAAGGGACGAAAGCUAGGGGCACGAACCGGAUUAGAUACCCGGGUAGUCCUAGCCGUAAACGAUACUCGCUAGGUGUCAGCCACGGUGCGACCGUGGUUGGUGCCGUAGGGAAGCCGUGAAGCGAGCCACCUGGGAAGUACGGCCGCAAGGCUGAAACUUAAAGGAAUUGGCGGGGGAGCAC